GACGAACGCUGGCGGCGUGCUUAACACAUGCAAGUCGAACGGUGAAGCGCCUUCCUUUUUGGUGGGUGUGGAUGAGUGGCGAACGGGUGAGUAACACGUGAGUAACCUGCCCCCUUCUUCUGGAUAACCGCAUGAAAGUGUGGCUAAUACGGGAUAUUCUGGGUCUGUCGCAUGAUGGGUCUGGGAAAGAUAUUGUUUCGGUGGGGGAUGGGCUCGCGGCCUAGCAGCUUGUUGGUGGGGUGAUGGCCUACCAAGGCGGUGACGGGUAGCCGGCCUGAGAGGGUGGACGGUCACACUGGGACUGAGACACGGCCCAGACUCCUACGGGAGGCAGCAGUGGGGAAUAUUGCACAAUGGGCGCAAGUCUGAUGCAGCGACGCCGCGUGAGGGAUGGAGGCCUUCGGGUUGUGAACCCCUUUCGCCAGUGAAGCAGGCCUGCCUCGUUUGUGGGUGGGUUGACGGUAGCUGGAUAAGAAGCGCCGGCUAACUACGUG
RNAcentral lists this ribosomal RNA (494 nucleotides) under uncultured bacterium. RNAcentral's name for it is "partial 16S ribosomal RNA". It matches the Rfam family "Bacterial small subunit ribosomal RNA", at positions 28 to 507 of the family's 1533-position model. The record is from RNAcentral.